GAAAUGCGAUAAGUAGUGUGAAUUGCAGAAUUCAGUGAAUCAUCGAAUCUUUGAACGCAUAUUGCGCCCCUUGGUAUUCCAUGGGGCAUGCCUGUUCGAGCGUCAUUUGUACCCUCAAGCUCUGCUUGGUGUUGGGUGUUUGUCCCGUCUCCGCGCGUGGACUCGCCCCAAAGUGAUUGGCAGCCGGCGUACUGGUCCCGGAGCGCAGCACAUGUCGCGCAAACGAGUGCCUUGGUACGGCGGCGUCCAUAAGCCCCUCUCUCACGCUCUUGACCUCGGAUCAGGUAGGGACACCCGCUGAACUUAAGC
Molecule: unclassified non-coding RNA, 309 nt
Filed under: plant metagenome
Description: partial contains 5.8S ribosomal RNA, internal transcribed spacer 2, and large subunit ribosomal RNA
Rfam family: 5.8S ribosomal RNA (bases 1-105)
Source: RNAcentral